Long non-coding RNA from Nasonia vitripennis (jewel wasp), 5395 nucleotides. RefSeq lists it as uncharacterized. The record is from RefSeq and is a predicted model, not a curated record. NCBI's taxonomy places the organism in Eukaryota, Metazoa, Arthropoda, Insecta, Hymenoptera, Pteromalidae. The transcript is spliced from 3 exons.
GACGUUUUGGCGGUUGAACGGAUUUUUUGCAGUGACGCCGCGGCGGCCGUUCGCACCGGGUACUUAUUCGUGAACGCCGGUUUAUUAGUGCACAUAUCUAUGAUCACCAUGGAGACGACUGUCGUAAAAUCGCAUUAUGUUGGUCCAAUCGCACUUUCCGCGAAGACGCUUUGUUGACAGACGCGAGCGUCCCUCCGCCCGAGACACGAACAUAACCCACUUCCGCAUAUACAUACCUACAUAUAGCUUUUGCUGCAGGACUCCAGAGCUCGGAAAUGGGUCUCGUGGAGCGAGGCAAGGAGAUGCAAGAUUUGGAUGCGCCGAGGCCUGGAAAGUCGAGGGAUCUCUUUGGCGUGCAGCUCGAGGUGACGCAGAGAUUAUGAAUUUGAAUAUGGAAAUUCCACUAUCCCACAUCGGAGAAAUUCACCCGAGAGCAAAAAAAAAAAAAAACUCGAGUCCGAGUUUCCCAUCCGGUGCAGUCAUUCCAUCAUUACUUCCGCUCUUUCGUUUCUCUCUCGUCAUUUUUCUCUCUGCUUCUACUUACUCGAAGAGAGGACGUCUCGUAUUCUACGGCUCUCGUAAAACCGGACUCUGCUAUCCGGGAUGGACGUGCGGCUAAAGCGAGGUGCAUAAAAGUGAGAGAUGAAAAAGAGCGCGCGCAGAGCCAACCGAGGCGACAAGUACGGCGCUCUAAGGAGCUGAGAGAAGCCGAGUGGCUGCGUGGGCGGACGACCCAGAAACGACGCGGGUGGCGCUUCCGUGGAGCUGAUGGCCCUGUUAUUGUGGAUGGACCUGUUACCGGCUGCUAUUUUUUGAGAAUUUAUAAGGAUUGCUGUGGGACUGGAAACGUUGUAUGCGCGCAUAUUAGUCUUGAAUCUACUUUGGUGUUCUUAUCGACGCAUUUAAUUACGCUCGUUAGGAAUUACAAGUUUUAUACAUCUCUGAUUCCUCUUUAAUGACUCGACCGGACGAUUAAAGCUCGUAAUAAAUCCUCGGGACUUUCAUCACUCCCACCUCGGAGUAAACAAAAGUUUACGGAAAAAUCACAGUUCUCACGUUUUCUCGCGAGAGAACAUCUCGUACACCCUUUCCCCAUAAGGCCUCGCUAAUAGGAACAUCAGCCCCCCUCGUCCGCGCGCAAAAAGUGUCCGGCGCGCAUGCACACGCACACGUGUAACAUGCCUAUUACCCACUACCUGUCCAUCCAUCUGCCGCAGGAAGUUUCUUUUUCUCCGUGUAAAACGCUCCAUUAGACGCGUCUCUCGAAAGCCGGCGCGCGGGAUACAAAUUGUCUCCCCGGGACUACGAAACGUUUUUGCCUCGAACGGUUGAUUUGCUCGAUUUACUAGCUCGCUGAAGCUUUCCUCGUCUCGUGCUAUGCGACUUUAAUGAUUGUCAUGAGGAUGUUUAACAAGGGAUAUAGUUGUUUUGGAAUAUUGAAUCGACGACGUCGCGUUGGAGAUAUUUUCACGCGCUUACACAGCCGUGUUAUUACACGUCGUCGGCUAGGUUUCUUUUUAAUGAGGAUAACGACACGCCUCGUGGAAAAAUACAACAUCGACGAUCGUCGAUCAAAAGCGCGUAUUUUUUUCAAAAUUUCGAAAAACUGCUCGAUAUUUCUCCAUAUCGGAUGUGACUCAUUGCAGCCGAUACCGUUACUCCAAACCGAGAGAGAAGGCAAAAACGAAAGCGUUGCACCUUACUCAACAACCUGUGCGCGCUCUGCACACACAAAGCCGCAUCCUCACGGCACAAAAAGUACGCGAGACAAAAGCGGGAGACGCGAGAGAGAGAGAGAGAGAGAAGAAAAAAAAGUCAAAGAGGAGCAGACGGAAGACGUCGAGUGUCGCCAUAGACAAAGACAAAGCGCGGGUCCGGCAAUAUAGCCGUGGCGAAAGCGAAACGUAGAAAGAUUGUAUAUAGGCUCUCUUCGAUAUCUCGUCAUCGAGUCAUCCUCAUCGUAUUGUCGCCUUAAUGGUCCUCUUCUCCCUUGCUUCUCGGAGAAGGUGCGAGAUACCGGUGCGAUUUUGAAAAGGUUCUCAAAUCGAUCGAUGCUCUUACCGUUCUUCAUCCGAGUUAAAGAGGCUUACGGUUGGAAAAUAAUGCCGAAAGGAUAAAGCGCAUUCUAGCGCGCUGAUCUCGUCAUGCUGACUUCGUCCUUGCCGGUACUUUCGUUUUUUUCUCUCUCUCUCUCUCUCUCUCGCUCCUAAUCAGCUUAUGCUCGGCAGCGUUUUACAGUUAAAGUCGGGAUUGCGCGCGUUAAUUGAACUGUGAUUUGUAAGUCUUUCAUAAUCGUAAUGGCUUUUCAAUCCGGGGAUUAUUACCGUCGUUUUGUCCGCAGCGCAUUGAUACGCGCGCUGCGCGCAGGUGAAAGUUAUCGAUUAAAACAAACAGCGCCGGCUUUUCCUCUGCAUUCGCCCGCGGUUCGCUUAUCUCUAUCUCAUUUAUAUCUGGAUAUCCUUUUUUUCUUUUCACGGACUCGAGGCUAACCGCAGACGAUAGUCACAUCUGAUACGUCGUCGUAAUUAUAUAAACACAUCGAUUUCACAAGCGUUAGUCACAAGAUUAACUCUCUGACAUUGAUAAGGGGAUUAACGAGCAGCAGACAUACGUAUCCCGAGUUUUCCGAGUAUAAUCUAAAAACAAGUUUUCAGUCGUCGCGAUCUCUUGCAGGGAAUAAAAGUCACACCCCCAGCCGAAUUCGUCGCGCACACGCGAUAAUGAGCCCGGGCCUAUGAAUAAAAAAUCGAAAUUACUAAAGGGGCUGCUGUACGUACUGCGCGAGCCUUAAAAAGCGAAGCCCAUGAUUAAUUCACCCUACGCAAUCUGUUACUCGUCGACAAUACGUACUGCGCGCGCGCGCGUGAUGCAUGACACGAAAAAAAGCGGGCCCCGGGAGCUGUCACGCGUUAUUGAUACAACUUGCGUCUAGGAUACGCCCAAAUUGUGUACACUGCACGCGAGCGGCUCGCUGCGGGGAUGUGUAUAUAGACAGUAUAUAUAAACAGCAGUCGUGUGCGCCUUCUAAACGCAUCGGUGCUGCUGAUGGACGUCGGGGGGCGAGCCUUUGCGUCGAUAAAAAUUGGAUUGGUUCGCCGCUCUGUAUUUUGGAAAUUUUACGAGCUUCGCUAUCGAGCUGUUGUUGGGUUUGAACAUUGCAAAAGAAAACGAGAAAUGCUCGGUCAUCGAAUUAUUCUCCUGCGCCGUCAAACCACCCCAUCAAACAAAGUAACGCGCACUCCCUUAUCAAUUAGACAGCGCUAACAAAAGUAUAUAGUUAUACUAUACCAUCCCAACGAGGCUCCUAAACGCAUCCCAUUAAUAAAGCAACGCCCGCCGAUCGAUAACCGAGUGCACUCGCCGAGAAGCAAUAAUAAUCGAGCCGCCCCAUAAAGCAAAACAAACAUCAGAGCCGCGGCGACCAUCCAGAGAAUUCGAUCCGCGCAGCUAGCGCAAAACAGCAAGGGAAAGGUGUCCGUCGGCGCAAUUUGAUCGCGCGCGGAUACCACCCGCGGAAAUUAUACCGCCGCCGAGCCAUAUUUACACUGCGGCGACGUUCUUUUUGUUUGCUCGCUGGAAUAGAGUGGACGGUAUAUUAAUUGUGGAGCGCAUUUUUUUUUUCGCGGCGGAAGUUUGCGAUGACGACCCGAGUUCAGCCCGCCUCAGCUGUCCUCGUCAAAUAUGAAUGAGCUACCGGUUGAUGGGGUUGAGCUUUGUUGCUUCCGUGCGAGGAAUAAUAUAGUCUAUAUCGAUCGCUCGCGUCGCUGCAUUUCUUUUUUCCAUCUCUUCCUUCCGUUUUCAAAUAUACAUUCGGUGCAGAUCGUAUCGAUCGAUUAUCAAAGCAAGCGGCAUAUCGGACGAUUAUCUCGCUGAAAAAUUCACACUAUCAACACCUGCAGCGCGAAAAAAAUUACAUCGCAAACAGAGGCGCAAAAGAUUCAUUAGGCCGCGCGCCACUCGUCGAUCAAUCAAGCCCCCCCCCCCCCCGACGUCGCGGGGGCAAAAAAGCAUACAGCGGCUCUAUAAUAAACCGUCAACUAUAUGUAGACGACAGACUGUGCAGCUAUAGCUCGAACUAAAACAAACUCGCGCCGGCGAUGUAAUAAACUUUCUCGUGUCCGCGAUGCAGCUGCAGCGUCAUGCUGGCCUAAACGAUUUUCGCUAGUCAGCCGCGCGGGGGCGCUGCUGCUGCUUGUUUAGUGCGACGGGAGCGCGUGUUUGGGAACCGUAAAGAAGGCGCGUAAUCAAGCUCGCUUCGUAAUACUUUUAUGGGGCUUUCCUUUUCACGUGCGCGCGCGGGAAGGUUUAUACGCCGAUAGCUGUGCACUUAACGAGCUGAAUCGAGCGGUUCACUGCGCUGCUGCUGCUGCUGGCUAUAAUAUACGCUGAGAGAAGCAUUUUUAAUGAUAGAGCUUUUUUGGAUUUAUUUCGUCCGAUAUAGACAUGCCUUAUGAAUAGUCUUCUUAAUAUCCAAUUUCGAGCUUCGUGUGUUCCGCGAUCCACUGGCGAUAAUUAGGAACUUAGGUGUAAACGCCAAGAGUCCUUAGCGAUCCGAAGACUAGACCCCAAGAUACGAUUCCAACUAGUCUGUUAUUAAUGACGGCUGGACCUCCUGAGUCGCCCUGGCAUGUGUUGUCUCCUUUCGCACCAGCACAGAACAUGUUAUCUGUAAUUUCUGACUCUCUAAUAUAUGAAAUAUUCUUCUUCGAACAUAUCGGAACAACGGCAGCCUUUAAUUGCGAAGAUUUUAGCUUCCGUUCUUGUAGAAAUUGAAAUACGUUCACGCCUGUCCAACCGAACCUGUAUAGAUUACAUAGUUGUAUGUGAACUUACGCCUUUUUUUCCGUAUCCAGCGAUGUAUACCUUAUCGUAGACCUUUAGAACUCUAUUAUAUUUGUAGUUCAUUAAACUUGAUGGAUUCUUCGAGCUAUAAUGUAUGCAGCACGUUAAUUAUAGUAUAAAUCUUCAGUGGAUAUUCCAGUAGAUAUUUAUUUUUAAAUAAGCCGCUUAUGGCCUGAUAGAAUCGUUAUUAUACUCAACCUGAAUCAAAGCGAUGUCGUUAUCGAGCGUUAUGUUAUCGAAAUCUAAGUGAAUAAUAACUUUUUCGACUCUGUAAUGUUGUUCUCCUACUUCACGAGCACUUGAUCCGGUAAUAACGGUGUACUCCCCAUUAUACCUGCGUGAACCGUUUAUAAUUUAAUAAGCAGGUAUUUUCCUGUCAAUGCUGAUUAAUCAAUACCGCUUCAUGAAAAAUUACUCAUUUCACGCAAUGAGCAGCAGUAUAACGACCCAAUAUUCAGAGAGAAUCGCUUCCCCACAACCUUAAAUUUUAUUUCAAAGAAUUUGAGCCUGUAAUUAAGUUUUCAGUACAAUAAAAAGUCAUAAACAAAAAUAA